Molecule: ribosomal RNA, 327 nt
Filed under: uncultured bacterium
Lineage: Bacteria
Description: bacterial SSU rRNA
Rfam family: Bacterial small subunit ribosomal RNA
Source: RNAcentral
GACGAACGCUGGCGGCGUGCCUAACACAUGCAAGUCGAACGGAAGGACACGAGAGCUUGCUCUUGUGGACUUCAGUGGCGAACGGGUGAGUAACGCGUAAACAACCUACCCCGGGGAUGGGGACAACAGACGGAAACGACUGCUAAUACCCAAUGAACUCCCUGAUUGAGUGAUGAGGAAAGGAAAGGUGGCCUCUCGAAGAAGCUACCGCCUCGGGAGGGGUUUGCGUCUGAUUAGUUAGUUGGUGGGGUAACGGCCUACCAAGACGAUGAUCAGUAGCCGGUCUGAGAGGAUGAACGGCCACACUGGAACUGAGACACGGUCCAG